AGGGCCACGGGGUCGACGCCGCGAGUCACGACCAGGUAGUCGCGCAUGACGAUGGCGUGGCGGUUCUC
RNAcentral lists this small RNA (68 nucleotides) under Gordonia humi. RNAcentral describes it as "Gordonia sp. CC-12301 ASdes TB sRNA". It matches the Rfam family "ASdes TB sRNA". Lineage: Bacteria; Bacillati; Actinomycetota; Actinomycetes; Mycobacteriales; Gordoniaceae. The record is from Rfam by way of RNAcentral.